GAAAAUUCCGCCAAGUAAACAACAAAGAAAGGGAUUUGGGAUGUUGUCAGUUGUAUGUAUACAUUAUGUGCGACGUUGACUGCAAGAAAAAAGGAAUGUGGAGCUAAUGCAUGCUGCUAAGGAUGAAAAGGUCUUGUGUUUAUUGGUUGUGCCUAAGUCACCAGUCACAGGUGUACCUUAUUUCUGGUAAUGGAGUCUAUAUACAUUUGAGGUGAGCGGCAGAUUUAAUUUUGAAGAUGGGUGACUUUCAGAUGUUGUGAUGAAGAUUGUUGAAAGGGAUUAUCAGCAUAGAACCAAUCCAUAUGAAUGUGCAAGUCAGGACUUGUACAACACCUGAGUACCUAGAUGACUGUUGAACUAAUUGGUGAACAAGAAAAGAUGUCAGAGAGGGGAAUCCAAUACAGAUGUCAUGAUCAAGAAUAUAUACUCUUAUCAAUGAUAUGAUCAAGAAUAUGUAAAUUUGUAACGAUUUAAAAUGUCUUAUCUGUAAAUUACUCUUCAUUACUUAAUUGUUCAUACAUUAUCAUCUACACUUAUGCUAUAAAUCUUAUCUGUAUAUUAAUCGCCCCCUCUUAUCUAACCCCCUGCUGAUUGUAAUGACCUGUGUAUUGACUCCUGAUCUUAAGGAUCUUGUAAUGUGCUCCUGAUAGUCAGGAACGGAUCUUGAGUAUAUAUAUAGUGCGACAGAAUUUUAGAAUAAGAUAGAAAAUGAAAAUAUAGAAGACUUAGUAGAUAGAACUGUUAGAGAUAGAUAAAGUUACUCACUUACUUGGACUAUUACCUAAUAUUUCUUGGAUUUAUAUGUACAUGUGAUUGUUUUACUUGGAUUUUAUUUUUUGUGAAUUAUUUUUCCUGAAUGUUUCUAUUUAUGAUGUGCUCUGUAAGUAAACUGUAGACUAGAAUUUCGGCAUCUAUUUUCAAGAUCUGAGGAACAAGGAUAAAUUAAUUUAUUUAUGCAAACUGACAUUAUGAAAUGUGUUGUAAGACCGCUCGGUGCGGCGCUACAAACUAACUAGGAAAUAUCUUGGAGAUUUAUAGUUGAACAUGCAAGCAUUCAUGAUUUU
Long non-coding RNA from Saccostrea cuccullata (small rock oyster), 1064 nucleotides. RefSeq lists it as uncharacterized. The transcript is spliced from 4 exons. The record is from RefSeq and is a predicted model, not a curated record. NCBI's taxonomy places the organism in Eukaryota, Metazoa, Mollusca, Bivalvia, Ostreida, Ostreidae.